AAUAGACAAUUAAUGCCUCAUUCAGAAUGUUUUUGUGAACUGGAUCAAAUGAUUCUUUGUAAAGACUCAUUACAACAAUUAUUUUACAAAUAAGUCAUUGCUACAUCUGUCCAGAUAGAUAAAGAAUAGCUAUGAAUACACAGUAUUAUACACAUAGAUAGAUAGAUAGAUAGAUAGAUAGAUAGAUAGAUAGAUAGAUAGAUAGAUAGAUAGAUAGAUAGAUAGAUAGAUCAUAACUUUAAUUGCUCCUAGUGCAGAAAUGAGGCACACUCACACUCACCCACCCAGACCUAGUGUGUUUGGGUCUGGGUGAAACGUCCUAAUUAGAAGGAGGGAGGUAAAGGGCUGCGACUUUGGUCCACUUCACAGCUCUUGUGGCCUCUUCCUCCCCUCUGCUGAGUGUGUAAACAAUAACAGUGGCCGCUUUGAAAGGACACAGGUGUCAACCAUUGUGUGCUUUUUGAAAAGCAUGGAGAGAGGGAGGUUAGGAGGCUAGAGGGUGGGCUAACACACCCUUUUCAUCUAACUGCAAACACCCCCUCCAGCAUUUCAUCGCUUGACUAGUACUGUCUCACAUGCAGUGAACAGGAAAUCUGGGUCCAGAAUAACAGUGGUUAUUUUUCUAGAUUCUGCUAAUUGGGAACAUUGGGCAUCAUUGUUCUAUAUUGCCUAAAAGAUCCAGGUUUUGGCUUUGAUUUGGUGUUUUCAUACUUAAUGUUCGAAUAAUGAUGCAGCCAUUAUAGAUAGAUAGAUAGAUAGAUAGAUAGAUAGAUAGAUAGUUAGAUAGUUCAGUUCAUGUUUAUGGUGAUGCUGGAGAGGGUGGGGGAUUUAUUGCUCAGCAUUAGGAGCUCUAAUCUGUUGCAGGUGUUCCUGGCUGCUAUCCCAGCCAGACUGGCCGUUCCUUCCCCCUGGAGGCCCCAUCAUAAUAGUGUAUGCGGGCAUGUGUGGGUGUGUGUCUAAGAGAGAAGGGGAAAGUGUGAGUAAAAAGAGAUAGUGUAUGCGUAAUGCGUAAGGCAGUGCAUGUUAAGCAGGAGGAGGUUCUGACUUGGAUUUCCCCUCUUAAAUCCAAUAAAGUACAUGAGAAUUGAUACAGCCUGCCUGGUGUAAUUUCAGUUCAUGUAGCUCUUCUGUGAAUUCGAUAUAUUAUGACCCACCCAUGAUAACUGCAGGGAAUUAAUGUGGAAUCUCUCUCUAAUGAAGGACUCACUCAGAAGAGAAAAGUCCUAAUCUUGGCGGUCAUACAAUCAAACCACCUACCGGUCAAACUUUUGAGACGGUGAAAGGGGAGCUUUGUUGUCGCUAUUAUCAAGAGACCGCUGCCCUCUUCCGGACAUAUUGUGUUACAACAUCCAAAUGUAUUCCGUUUGGUGCAAAUAGCAAUAUUCUUUAGAGGUUUAACUUAACUCAGGGUUAUGAUUAUACACUAAAAAGUGUGAUAGUAGUUUGUAAAUCAGCACAGAUUUUGUGUUCUUCAGGUACCUGAUUUGCAUAAUUCCUUCAGUGCUACAACGCGGACAGCGCUUGACUUCAACAGAC
Molecule: long non-coding RNA, 1536 nt
Organism: Cyprinus carpio carpio
Lineage: Eukaryota; Metazoa; Chordata; Actinopteri; Cypriniformes; Cyprinidae
Source: Ensembl